CCUUCAAUAGCUCAGUUGGUAGAGUGGAGGACUGUAGGUGGGAUGAUGGCAGUCCUUAGGUCGCUGGUUCGACUCCGGCUCGAAGGA
This 87-nucleotide transfer RNA is filed under the name Danio rerio (zebrafish). It matches the Rfam family "tRNA". From Rfam's summary of the family: Transfer RNA (tRNA) molecules are approximately 80 nucleotides in length. Their secondary structure includes four short double-helical elements and three loops (D, anti-codon, and T loops). Lineage: Eukaryota; Metazoa; Chordata; Actinopteri; Cypriniformes; Danionidae. The record is from Rfam by way of RNAcentral.